GCCAGGUGCAGUGGUGCAGACCUGCAGUCCCAGCUACUAGGGAGACUGAGGCAGGAGGAUCUUGAGGCCAGGAGUUCUGGACUGUAGUGCACUAUGCUGAUCCGGUAUCCACACUAAGUUCCGCAUUGAUGUGGUGACUUCCCGGGAGCAGCGGACCCCCCCCACCAAGUUGCCUAAGGAGGGGUGCACUGGUCCAGGUUGAAAAUGGAGCAGCUCAAAACUUCCUUGCUGAUCAAUAGUGGGAUCGCAUCUGUGAAUAGCCACUGCCCUCCAACCUGGGCAAUAUAGCAAAACCCUGACUCU
RNAcentral lists this signal recognition particle RNA (303 nucleotides) under Carlito syrichta (Philippine tarsier). RNAcentral's name for it is "Metazoan signal recognition particle RNA (ENSTSYG00000029608.1)". It matches the Rfam family "Metazoan signal recognition particle RNA". Rfam says of the family: The signal recognition particle (SRP) is a universally conserved ribonucleoprotein. It is involved in the co-translational targeting of proteins to membranes. Lineage: Eukaryota; Metazoa; Chordata; Mammalia; Primates; Tarsiidae. The record is from RNAcentral.